CCUACGGGAGGCAGCAGUGGGGAAUAUUGGACAAUGGGCGCAAGCCUGAUCCAGCAAUGCCGCGUGAGUGAUGAAGGCCUUAGGGUCGUAAAGCUCUUUUACCAGGGAUGAUAAUGACAGUACCUGGAGAAUAAGCUCCGGCUAACUCCGUGCCAGCAGCCGCGGUAAUACGGAGGGAGCUAGCGUUGUUCGGAAUUACUGGGCGUAAAGCGUACGUAGGCGGUUAUUCAAGUCAGAGGUGAAAGCCCGGGGCUCAACCCCGGAACGGCCUUUGAAACUAGGUAGCUAGAAUCUUGGAGAGGUCAGUGGAAUUCCGAGUGUAGAGGUGAAAUUCGUAGAUAUUCGGAAGAACACCAGUGGCGAAGGCGACUGACUGGACAAGUAUUGACGCUGAGGUACGAAAGCGUGGGGAGCAAACAGGAUUAGAUACCCUGGUAGUCCACGCCGUAAACGAUGAUAACUAGCUGUUCGGGCACUUGGUGCUUGAGUGGCGCAGCUAACGCAUUAAGUUAUCCGCCUGGGGAGUACGGUCGCAAGAUUAAAACCUUAAAUGAAUUGACGG
This 562-nucleotide ribosomal RNA is filed under the name uncultured bacterium. RNAcentral's name for it is "bacterial SSU rRNA". It matches the Rfam family "Bacterial small subunit ribosomal RNA", at positions 338 to 916 of the family's 1533-position model. The record is from RNAcentral.